RNAcentral lists this ribosomal RNA (119 nucleotides) under Brachypodium distachyon (stiff brome). The record is from RNAcentral. Lineage: Eukaryota; Viridiplantae; Streptophyta; Magnoliopsida; Poales; Poaceae.
GGAUACGGUCAUACAAGCACUAAAUCACCGGAUCCCAUCGGAACUUCGAAGUUAAGCGUGCUUGGGCGAGAGUAGUACUAGGAUGGGUGACCUCCUGAGAAGUCCUCGUGUUGCAUUCU